RNAcentral lists this signal recognition particle RNA (299 nucleotides) under Moschus moschiferus (Siberian musk deer). Its description in RNAcentral is "Metazoan signal recognition particle RNA (ENSMMSG00000010917.1)". It matches the Rfam family "Metazoan signal recognition particle RNA". Rfam says of the family: The signal recognition particle (SRP) is a universally conserved ribonucleoprotein. It is involved in the co-translational targeting of proteins to membranes. Lineage: Eukaryota; Metazoa; Chordata; Mammalia; Artiodactyla; Moschidae. The record is from Rfam by way of RNAcentral.
GCUGGGCGUGGUGGCGCGCACCUGUAAUCCCAACUACUUGGGAGGCUGAGGCUGGAGGAUCGCUUGAGCUCAGGAGUUCUGGGCUGCAGUGCACUAUGCCGAUCGGGUGUCCGCACUAAGUUCGGCAUCAAUAUGGUGACCUUCUGGGAGUGGGGACCACCAGGUUGCCUAAGGAGGGGUGAAUCGGCUCAGGUCGGAAACGGAGCAGGUCAAAACUCCCGUGCUGAUCAGUAGUGGGAUUGCGCCUGUGAAUAGCCACUGUACUCCAGCCUGGGCAACAUAGCGAGACCCUGUCUCUU